This 468-nucleotide ribosomal RNA is filed under the name uncultured bacterium. Its description in RNAcentral is "partial 16S ribosomal RNA". It matches the Rfam family "Bacterial small subunit ribosomal RNA", at positions 28 to 507 of the family's 1533-position model. The record is from RNAcentral.
GACGAACGCUGGCGGCGUGCUUAACACAUGCAAGUCGAACGGAAAGGCCCUGCUUUUGUGGGGUGCUCGAGUGGCGAACGGGUGAGUAACACGUGAGUAACCUGCCCUUGACUUUGUGAUAACUUCAGGAAACUGGGGCUAAUACCGGAUAGGAGCUCCUGCUGCAUGGUGGGGGUUGGAAAGUUUCGGCGGUUGGGGAUGGACUCGCGGCUUAUCAGCUUGUUGGUGGGGUAGUGGCUUACCAAGGCUUUGAAGGGUAGCCGGCCUGAGAGGGUGACCGGCGACAUUGGGACUACGAGACGGCCCAGACUCCUACGGGAGGCAGCAGUGGAGAAUAUUGCACAAUGGGCGGAAGCCUGAUGCAGCAACGCCGCGUUCGGGAUGACGGCCUUCGGGUUGUAAACCGCUGUCGCCUGUGACGAAGCGUGAGUGACGGUAAUGGGUAAAGAAGCACCGGCUAACUACGUG